This is a long non-coding RNA of Hippopotamus amphibius kiboko, 839 nucleotides long. RefSeq lists it as uncharacterized. NCBI's taxonomy places the organism in Eukaryota, Metazoa, Chordata, Mammalia, Artiodactyla, Hippopotamidae. The record is from RefSeq and is a predicted model, not a curated record. The transcript is spliced from 3 exons.
GCUGGACCUUUAACCAAAGUCAACGCAGGAAGCCUUAGGAAGAGCAGCCCCAGAGAGGAUGGGCAGCUUCCCACUCAGCGGGGCUGGUGCAGCCUAGAACUGGAAGGGUGGAUGGCCAAGAGAGGAGCUUAGCCUCUGGGGGUGGGCCCAGCACUGUAAUAGACACCGGGGAAGGCAGGGUAAGAGACGCAUCUUGAUGUUCCCGUCGGGGAGGCUUAGAUGACCAUACUGCAAGGCGAUGUUGGUUGGAAGAGGAAGCAAGCCCAGCCGGGGGCCGUAGGGAUUGUUUGCAAGAUGGAUUUGGGAGAAUCAAAGGAAAAGUCUGCUGAAGGAUGGAGGAGUCUGAGUAGCAUCAGCCCCUGAAUUAAAAGGGAUGUUUUGUUGAAGUUCAGAUCUCAAGAAGAGGCAAGAGAAGAAUAAAGAAAGAGCUGGGAGAUGUCACUCUUGAGCCAUUUAGACAGUGAGACGCCAUGGGAAUAAAUACCAUUAUAACACUUUCAGGUCGUAUUGCAAUUCUCCCUGCACCUAAAAAAAAAAAAAAAAAUCCUGUCUCUCUUUGCAAUGUUAAAAUCCUCCAAAGCAUUCUGUUUGUUUUAGAGGUAAGAAGGUGGUGGAGAAGCUUUGAGCCUCCAUUGCACUGAAGCAUGGGCCACAGAGAAAAGGAAACUUGAGCUGAAGAAUGGACAGUAGCAGACCCAGAGAAGGAAGUCAGAUUGCUUUUGGUGCUGAUGGGAGAGACAAAGGGGGUGAAAUGGGAAUUCUCUUGGGGUUAUACAUUACAUCCAAGGGCGUAUUAAGGUACAAGCUUGACCACACCUUCCUCAUCCCCAUUCUUAACU